RNAcentral lists this long non-coding RNA (383 nucleotides) under Mytilus galloprovincialis (Mediterranean mussel). The record is from RNAcentral. Lineage: Eukaryota; Metazoa; Mollusca; Bivalvia; Mytilida; Mytilidae.
AAUAAUACUAUAUCUUAGGAAGAACGUAUGGAACAAUAUGUUUGUUUGGUAUUGGGUUUUUUGUACAGAAAGAAAUAUUUGUACUGUAAUUGAUAUUUGAAUUUAUGUCUGUGCAAAUUAAUAUGUAUAUUAGUAAAUUACACACAUCACGUUUCUUAUACAUCAGUACUCACCACAUGUGCUUUAUACUUUUAUAAUACAUACGUAAGUCACAGAAUCAUUUCAACUUUUGUUCAUUCACAUUAAUUCAAAAAUUUCCAAUUCUAACUAUAACUAUUAUUUUUUUUCAAUCAAAUAUAUAGUUUUCACGUUUAAAUCAACACAUGUAUAAUGUAAGUCAGUGAACCGGAUAUACGUUAAUGUAUUACAGUGCCAGUGAUGCG